Molecule: long non-coding RNA, 391 nt
Filed under: Elaeis guineensis (African oil palm)
Lineage: Eukaryota; Viridiplantae; Streptophyta; Magnoliopsida; Arecales; Arecaceae
Description: long non-coding RNA (EGUI_LNC045919)
Source: RNAcentral
UGUGGCUUGAAUGUACUGCUUAUGCGCCUAUUUCAGGGCAGCUGAAGGCCCUUGGCCCCACCCCCUCCUUUUGUCUCUCUCUUUCUUCUUCUUAUUUGACCUUUGGUGCAAGUUCUAUAAGAAGAAAAAUGAAUAAAAUAAUUGAUGGAAGUCAGAGAGUCUUUUUUACCGUGAGAAUCAUAGAAGUUUUUCCCUCCUUUUCUUCUUUUUUUUUGUGUGUGGAGGGACUUUGGCACUUUCGUGGGAGGAUUCUCGAACUGGUCAGGCUCGAUGCCAGAGGCACGUGGGCAUGUUGGAGAAAUUGUGACAAAAAAAUUCAAUCGAGCUUGAGCAACUCUGUCCCCUUUGUUCAAGAACAUGGAGUAGUCUGGUUGCAUCUUUGAUUGUGGAA